CAAAAACUUUAAAAAUAGAAAUAAGAACACAACUAUCACUGUAUGCUCAUAGCAAACCAUAAUAUAGCGAUUAUAUGCUGUUUUGCAUAACUAACACAGCCCCUCAGGGGUGGAAUUCUCAUGAAAGAAAUAAAAUUAAAGUUGUGCUUCAAGCUGCAUUUAGCAGUCUGGGAUUUAGAGCUGUAUGAACCUAGCAAUGAUACACAUAAUAUGAAUCUGAUGAGGUUCCAUCUGUUUGACUGGAACACAAAACUUUAGGAAUGAAAUUCAAUGCUACAAGAUGAAGCAAUCAUUGUUAUAGGUGUGUCUAAAUUUCAAUAUCUUACUAACAAAGUCACUCAACUUUAGUUUUAUUUCAAUAUGAUUUUAUCACCAGAAUUUUAUAAAAUUUCUAUCAAAUUUUGUACAUGACAUCCAAGUAACAUUUUUCUG
RNAcentral lists this unclassified non-coding RNA (432 nucleotides) under Hevea brasiliensis (rubber tree). Lineage: Eukaryota; Viridiplantae; Streptophyta; Magnoliopsida; Malpighiales; Euphorbiaceae. The record is from RNAcentral.